GGCGAACGGGUGAGUAACGCGUGAGUAACCUGCCCUGGAGUGGGGGGACAACAGUUGGAAACGACUGCUAAUACCGCAUAAGCCCACGGAUCCGCAUGGAUCUGCGGGAAAAGGAUUUAUUCGCUUCAGGAUGGACUCGCGUCCAAUUAGCUAGUUGGUGAGGUAACGGCCCACCAAGGCGACGAUUGGUAGCCGGACUNAGAGGUUGAACGGCCACAUUGGGACUGAGACACGGCCCAGACUCCUACGGGAGGCAGCAUGC
RNAcentral lists this ribosomal RNA (262 nucleotides) under uncultured bacterium. RNAcentral describes it as "partial 16S ribosomal RNA". It matches the Rfam family "Bacterial small subunit ribosomal RNA", at positions 97 to 353 of the family's 1533-position model. The record is from RNAcentral.